UACAGAGGGGGCAAGCGUUGUUCGGAAUUACUGGGCGUAAAGGGCGCGUAGGCGGCCUGCUAAGUCGAACGUGAAAUCCCCGGGCUCAACCCGGGAACUGCGUCCGAUACUGGUUGGCUUAAAUCCGGGAGAGGGAUGCGGAAUUCCAGGUGUAGCGGUGAAAUGCGUAGAUAUCUGGAGGAACACCGGUGGCGAAGGCGGCAUCCUGGACCGGCAUUGACGCUGAGGCGCGAAAGCCAGGGGAGCAAACGGG
Molecule: ribosomal RNA, 253 nt
Filed under: uncultured bacterium
Lineage: Bacteria
Description: partial 16S ribosomal RNA
Rfam family: Bacterial small subunit ribosomal RNA
Source: RNAcentral